Molecule: ribosomal RNA, 297 nt
Filed under: Escherichia coli
Lineage: Bacteria; Pseudomonadati; Pseudomonadota; Gammaproteobacteria; Enterobacterales; Enterobacteriaceae
Description: partial 16S ribosomal RNA
Rfam family: Bacterial small subunit ribosomal RNA
Source: RNAcentral
AACGACAUGUCGACUUGAGCGGUUGUGCCCUUGAGGCGUGGCUUCCGGAGCUAACGCGUUAAGUCGACCGCCUGGGGAGUACGGCCGCAAGGUUAAAACUCAAAUGAAUUGACGGGGGCCCGCACAAGCGGUGGAGCAUGUGGUUUAAUUCGAUGCAACGCGAAGAACCUUACCUGGUCUUGACAUCCACGGAAGUUUCCAGAGAUGGAAAGGUGCCUUCGGGAACUGUGAGACAGGUGCUGCAUGGCUGUCGUCAGCUCGUGUUGUGAAAUGUUGGGUUAAGUCCCGCAACGAAAA